GGGGAGGGUUGGGAUUGGGCAGAGGGGGACAGAUGAGAAGACAGUACAAAGGAGGAGACUGAUGGAAAAGCCAUUUUCCAGAGGAAUCGAGAGAAUUGGAAACAGGGUAGAUUUGAGAAACAAAAAAGAGGUUGGCAAGAUUCACUGUGAAGUUUUAAGCUUCCUGGAGAAUGACAGCUUUGACAAACAUAAGAACAUUCAGUGAGAGACGGAACACACGCGAGAGAACGAUCGCAAAAGAAGCUUGUGGCAAAUGGGAGCAUCUUGUGGAUUUAUGGACACAAAGUCAACUGAGCUUUUUAAUACACUUUUUUUG
Molecule: long non-coding RNA, 316 nt
Filed under: Rattus norvegicus (Norway rat)
Lineage: Eukaryota; Metazoa; Chordata; Mammalia; Rodentia; Muridae
Description: long non-coding RNA NONRATT032691
Source: RNAcentral